CUGGGUGUCCCUUGACGUCACUGACCAAAUAUGGACUUGGCCUUAAGAAAAGAGGGAACUCCAGAAAUAGAAGAAGUGGAGCCGCGGGGGAAAUGAGAUGCGGGAUUCGGAAUUCCGGCCGCGGUGUCUCCAUAAAAGGUCCUCCGGUGAGGUGGCAGGAGCUCCGGCUGCUUAUAUGGCCGCUAUCCGGGGGAGCGGAGCCGGCGGAGCCCACACACCGCCGGCAGGGAGCGGCUGGGGGCCGGCCUGAACCCCGAGACAUCCAACCAUCCGAUCAUCCAACCAUCCGAUCAUCCAACUGACCAUCCAUCCAUCCAUCCAUCCGGUCAUCCAUCCAUCCAUCCAUCCAUCCAUCCAUCCAUCCAUCCAUCCAUCCAUCCAUCAGGUCCUGGUCUCCCCUGGAUCUCCUCCUCACCAUUAAAUCAUUAUUUUAAAACUGCAGUUUGAUUUUUCUCAGGUCAUCUUUGAUGUUAAAUAUUUUAUGUCUAAAGGUUUUGUUGUGACAUUAAAAUGUAGUGUAGCAGAACCAGAACCAGUGCUGUCAGAACCGCAGUUCCACUCAGAAUCAUUCUGAGGGCCACAAAUGGCCCCGAGCCACACUUUAGGUACCCUGAUCUAAAGCUCAUCCCAUAACACCAUAACUGCAUGUUAGUAUUAUAUAGAAUAAUUACUUAUUACACAAAAAUGACCAAAAAAGAGAAAAACCACCAAAAAAAAAAAAACUUAAGAGAAAUCUUGCAGGUUUCCAUGGCAUGAUGCUGCCACUGCCGUGUUUCACAGCUGAAGUUCUGCAUGUUGGUCAGAAAGUUCUGAUCUCAUUUGACUGGAGGACUUUUAUUGUUUCCUUCUUGUUUUAUUUCAGCAGAUCCAGGAGCCACAUCGGCACGCCGCACCGUUCAGAUUUAAACAGGAGAAAUGUUCCUCGUGCCUCCAGUUCGCUCUGCUCUGUUUGUGCUGAAUCUGAGAGCAGGAGGACUCUGCAGCCUUUCAACGCCCACAGAUCCAAAAAUGUUGCCGUGCAUUGUCGCUGUGUGGCGAGCCGCCCACCCCGUGGCAGAUGGGGGUUUGCUUUCAUCGAACCUGAAAACACAGAAAGCAGCAUUCCUCCGUGUUUUCAACCAAAAGAGUCACCAUGAAGCUGCAGAAACAAACUAAAAACCAAACCUCCAGGUUUUCUGACCCAAACGUGAGAAAAGAUCAGUUCUGGACGGACUCACCGCUUUUGGGUCGCCUGAGAGAAGACGAAGGCUUCAGGAGAGGAAGACGAGGAGCUCCUCUUCGUCACCCAGAAGUUACCCGCUCCUCUGGAUCUCUGGAUCUGCGGCUCGGCCCGGCAGGACGGGGGGAAAAGAGGGUCCAUCCGGGUCCCGAGUGGGCCGCCGAUCACAAAAAGACUCGGAGAGGCCGGGAACGAGUGGGAGGGAGGGAACAAUGCCGUUCCCACCUCAGUUUGCUGCCACCCUCGCAGUUAGAAUAGUUAUGGAAAUGAGGCGGACCUCAGACUGGAACCUCCUGCAACCUAAAAUCAGCCUUUCUGCUGGACGGAAAACGUUCACCAUCUUCCUUCAGGCCUGGCCUAGUUAAAGCAAAUCCACCCUGGAAGCAGGCUGCAGUAUGCUAAAAGAACCUUAAAGGUCAUCAUGAGACAUUCAGCAGACUCUAACUCAUGUUGAUAUGAAGUCAGAGACACAGAUUUAACGUUAAUGCAAAGAAGAAAUUUACUUUCUAAAAACCCUAAAGAUCUUCCUGAAAAAACGAAAACGAUGUUAACGACAAACUAAAGACUUCAGUGGAGCACGGAGGAGGAGGAGUCAUGGCAGGGGAUGGUUUCAGGACCUACACAGUUUCAGUUGUUACAGUUAGGAACCAGAGAUCAGGCUGAACCCUGGACCUUCACAGACACAUAAAGACAGUUACAAAGUCGGCCUUCCAUCAGCUGGAGAACGUUUCCAGGACACAUUGAAGAUCUGCUGCUGUUGGAUCAACCUUCAGACCACUCUGGUUCUGGUUCUGGUUCUGGUUCUGCUCUGACCAACCAGAUCCAGAAGCAGAACUAAACAUAUAGAAGCAGCAUUCAGCUUCUAUGGACCAUAAAUCUGGAAUAAGCUUCAAGAAAACUGAAGACCUGCUGAAACACUGAGUUCCUGUAAAUCAAUGCUGAACUCAGCUGCUUUUGAACCAGAAUAAAUGAAACACUGACCAACAUUUUGAUGUGUGUUGAUUUUUUAUUAUGGUGUUCACAGCUGUUAACUGUAUGAUGAGGUUUUGAUGCUCAGGUAUGAUUAUGAAGUAUGUUUGACUAAAGUUUCUGGCUGUUUUAUCCACUGUGGGUAAAUUUACUGAAUAAAGAACAAACAUAUUUUAACCAAAAAUGAACCAGAUACAGAUCUACAGUUUACAUUGAAGUGAGACCUCCUGUUGGUAUACCAUCUUUGUUU
Long non-coding RNA from Poecilia latipinna (sailfin molly), 2438 nucleotides. RefSeq lists it as uncharacterized. The record is from RefSeq and is a predicted model, not a curated record. The transcript is spliced from 4 exons. Lineage: Eukaryota; Metazoa; Chordata; Actinopteri; Cyprinodontiformes; Poeciliidae.